CAGUAGCCGCGGGAAUACGUAGGGUGCAAGCGUUAUCCGGAAUUAUUGGGCGUAAAGAGCUCGUAGGCGGUCUGUCGCGUCUGCUGUGAAAUCUGGGGGCUCAACCCCCAGCCUGCAGUGGGUACGGGCAGACUAGAGUGCGGUAGGGGAGAUUGGAAUUCCUGGUGUAGCGGUGGAAUGCGCAGAUAUCAGGAGGAACACCGAUGGCGAAGGCAGAUCUCUGGGCCGUAACUGACGCUGAGGAGCGAAAGCAUGGGGAGCGAACAGGAUUAGAUACCCCAGUAGUCCCUGUCUCUUAUAC
This 301-nucleotide ribosomal RNA is filed under the name uncultured bacterium. RNAcentral's name for it is "partial 16S ribosomal RNA". It matches the Rfam family "Bacterial small subunit ribosomal RNA", at positions 509 to 807 of the family's 1533-position model. The record is from RNAcentral.